Molecule: ribosomal RNA, 196 nt
Filed under: uncultured bacterium
Lineage: Bacteria
Description: partial 16S ribosomal RNA
Rfam family: Bacterial small subunit ribosomal RNA
Source: RNAcentral
ACGCUCGACACCUACGGGGCAGCAGUGGGGAAUAUUGCACAAUGGGGGAAACCCUGAUGCAGCGACGCCGCGUGAGCGAAGAAGUAUUUCGGUAUGUAAAGCUCUAUCAGCAGGGAAGAUAAUGACGGUACCUGACUAAGAAGCUCCGGCUAAAUACGUGCCAACAGCCGCGGUAAUCUGAGCGGGCUGGCAAGGC